UCGGACGGGUGAGUAACGCGUGAGAAUCUACCUUCAGGUUGGGGACAACCACUGGAAACGGUGGCUAAUACCGAAUGUGCCGAGAGGUGAAAGGCUUGCUGCCUGAAGAAGAGCUUGCGUCUGAUUAGCUAGUUGGUAGUGUAAGAGACUACCAAGGCGACGAUCAGUAGCUGGUCUGAGAGGAUGAUCAGCCACACUGGGACUGAGACACGGCCCAGACUCCUACGGGAGGCAGCAGUGGGGAAUUUUCCGCAAUGGGCGAAAGCCUGACGGAGCAAUACCGCGUGAGGGAGGAAGGCUCUUGGGUUGUAAACCUCUUUUCUCAGGGAAGAACAGAAUGACGGUACCUGAGGAAUAAGCAUCGGCUAACUCCGUGCCAGCAGCCGCGGUAAUACGGAGGAUGCAAGCGUUAUCCGGAAUGAUUGGGCGUAAAGGGUCCGCAGGUGGCAUUGUAAGUCUGCUGUUAAAGAGUUUGGCUCAACCAAAUAAGAGCAGUGGAAACUACAAAGCUAGAGUGUGGUCGGGGCAGAGGGAAUUCCUGGUGUAGCGGUGAAAUGCGUAGAUAUCAGGAAGAACACCAGUGGCGAAGGCGCUCUGCUAGGCCGAGACUGACACUUGAGAACG
Molecule: ribosomal RNA, 624 nt
Filed under: Dolichospermum sp. LEGE 03277
Lineage: Bacteria; Bacillati; Cyanobacteriota; Cyanophyceae; Nostocales; Aphanizomenonaceae
Description: bacterial SSU rRNA
Rfam family: Bacterial small subunit ribosomal RNA
Source: RNAcentral